GAACGCUUUUGAUUUUAUAUUUUGUCUUUAUGUGUUUGUGCUUUGUUGAUGGAGAAGCCUACAUGCCAUCUCAAAAAAUUCAGAUCUAUGCUUGUUAGGUCCUCUUCCUCGACGAAGUCGGAGUUUAAUUUCCAUCAUUUGUUGAUGAUUUUUUUCUGCUUUUUUGGCCGCUGUUUCUUCUCUUAGGAGGUCUGUUCUGAUUAUCCUUGAAAGUUUGUUAAUUUCCGUGUAAAACAACAAAAAGUUGUCUCUGUAACUAGUAAUCUUAAGUUAUGUUUGAUUCAUUAAUUUGGGUAAGAUAACGAAAUAGUAGUCAAGUGGGUUUAUGUAUCACUCAAAUUAGAGGUUAAUGCAUUACUGCUGCAGAUUUGCUUUUACGAACUCUUAAUCUGAAUUCUUUUGUAUUGAGUUUUAAGUGAGGUUAAUGCAAUGAAGUUUAGCUUACUGCAUUACUGCUGAAGAUGAUGAUCUAAUUCAGGGUUUUAUUGAUGGUAAGUAUGAUGAUCUUCUUGAACAAUUGUCUCACAUGGUUUUUGUCAUAGAUGAGAUGGUUGGAAAGUCAAAGAAGAUCUUGAAGGAGUUAGUAGCUUAAGGAACUGAUUCUUGUUUUUCAUGUUCAUAAUUGAUAUAUCGUUGUCUUAUAAGAUUGAGAAUGUGGUAAGAGAAAUCUACGGCAUAAGCUCUGCAAAAACUUUCUCCAAGCAUCACCAUCUGAAUCACAUAAUGUUAAAAUUCCCAAA
Molecule: long non-coding RNA, 740 nt
Organism: Capsella rubella
Lineage: Eukaryota; Viridiplantae; Streptophyta; Magnoliopsida; Brassicales; Brassicaceae
Exons: 2
Source: RefSeq, a predicted model, not a curated record